UCCCUAAACCACUUGAAGUGUGAACAAGAGAUUCAAUCUAAACUCCCCUUAAAUCUAUACUCCCCUUGAUCAUAUACUCCAUGCUUAACCCUGGUGUCUCGAUCUUCAGACUCCCCAUGAGAGUCCUCUCAAUCACUUUAAAUGAUAGGCUCUGCUUGCUCUUCCUAAAACUUCUCAAACUUUGUACAUCACUAAGUCAAUAACAACAAGCCACCCACAAAAAAGAUUUUCUUGUAAAGAACCCACCGUCCAAACCAGCACAGUACUUCGGCCAUACACCUUUACUUCUGCUUUUCAACGAAUAAAAAACACCAUGGGCUUCCUUCGGUUGACCAUCAAGAGCCUAUUAUAAUACCCUUAAAGGAAAGGAUUUUAUAUUAAUUAAAAUUCUAACCAUAAUGCAAAUUUGUUAUAUUAAUAUGGAUCCUAACCAUAAUGACCAACCAUCUAAGAUAAAUAAGGUAACCAAAAAUAAAAAAGAAAGUUGAAUGCCAAAGCCAUAAUAAACUCCCCCUUUUGGCAACAUCAUUUUCUUGUUUAUAUAUUUUUCGGCAAGCAAACCAUCAACAACAAUCAUACAAGUACACAACCACCAGCAACUCAGAAAAAAACCAUCAACCAACACCAUUACACCCACCACAGUGAAAACCAACAUAAACCCCAUCCGAGCCGGCCAACAACCUACACUCCCCUUUGCUUGUCGAAAGAAGAUAGUUAGUCAGUAGACAGGAAGAGAGGCCUGAGUCGAGAAAGCAUCUGUCUGGAGCAUGGCUCAAGCCAUUUCUUGUUACAUUUUAUUUUUAUGUUCGAACAAUCCCAUUCUGUUGAGUAAUAAGAGCCAGA
RNAcentral lists this long non-coding RNA (843 nucleotides) under Cucumis sativus (cucumber). Its description in RNAcentral is "long non-coding RNA (CSAT_LNC001645)". The record is from RNAcentral. Lineage: Eukaryota; Viridiplantae; Streptophyta; Magnoliopsida; Cucurbitales; Cucurbitaceae.